AACGCUGGCGGCACGCCUAACACAUGCAAGUCGAGCGGGAUCUUCGGAUCUAGCGGCGGACGGGUUAGUAACGCGUGGGAACGUACCCAGAUCUACGGAAUAGCCUCGGGAAACUGAGAGUAAUACCGUAUACGCCCUUCGGGGGAAAGAUUUAUCGGAUUUGGAUCGGCCCGCGUAAGAUUAGAUAGUUGGUGGGGUAAUGGCCUACCAAGUCUACGAUCUUUAGCUGGUUUGAGAGGAUGAUCAGCAACACUGGGACUGAGACACGGCCCAGACUCCUACGGGAGGCAGCAGUGGGGAAUCUUAGACAAUGGGCGCAAGCCUGAUCUAGCGAUGCCGCGUGAGUGAUGAAGGCCUUAGGGUCGUAAAGCUCUUUCGCCUGUGAAGAUAAUGACGGUAGCAGGUAAAGAAACCCCGGCUAACUCCGUGCCAGCAGCCGCGGUAAUACGGAGGGGGUUAGCGUUGUUCGGAAUUACUGGGCGUAAAGCGCACGUAGGCGGACUAGUCAGUCAGAGGUGAAAUCCCAGGGCUCAACCCUGGAACUGCCUUUGAUACUGCUAGUCUUGAGUUCGAGAGAGGUAAGUGGAAUUCCGAGUGUAGAGGUGAAAUUCGUAGAUAUUCGGAGGAACACCAGUGGCGAAGGCGGCUUACUGGCUCGAUACUGACGCUGAGGUGCGAAAGUGUGGGGAGCAAACAGGAUUAGAUACCCUGGUAGUCCACACCGUAAACGAUGAAUGCCAGACGUCGGGUAGCAUGCUAUUCGGUGUCACACCUAACGGAUUAAGCAUUCCGCCUGGGGAGUACGGUCGCAAGAUUAACACUCAAAGGAAUUGACGGGGGCCCGCAC
This 847-nucleotide ribosomal RNA is filed under the name Rhodobacteraceae bacterium D4. Its description in RNAcentral is "bacterial SSU rRNA". It matches the Rfam family "Bacterial small subunit ribosomal RNA", at positions 32 to 926 of the family's 1533-position model. The record is from RNAcentral. Lineage: Bacteria; Pseudomonadati; Pseudomonadota; Alphaproteobacteria; Rhodobacterales; Paracoccaceae.